This is a long non-coding RNA of Labrus mixtus (cuckoo wrasse), 478 nucleotides long. RefSeq lists it as uncharacterized. The transcript is spliced from 2 exons. Lineage: Eukaryota; Metazoa; Chordata; Actinopteri; Labriformes; Labridae. The record is from RefSeq and is a predicted model, not a curated record.
ACACUUAGUUCUCACAAACAUCUUGGUCCACAUGAAAACCCAAAACGCACUGUUAGGGCUAUCAUGAGCACGCCAAGUCAAAAACAAUAUCCUUGACACGCUAAAAUGGUCUUACCAUUCCUCUGCAAUGACCACUUAAAGUUCUCCAUUCAGAGAGACUGUGUGUGUAUUGUGUUAGCAUGUUAAAAGUCCAGUUAGCAAUGUUAACACCAGCACUGUUUGGUUACGUCUGCCAUCGCACUAAACUCAUGUAAACAAAAGUGACAGCCUCGCACUAUCAUGACAAACAGGGGAGAAAAUUGGUGAUAUUUCCCCGUCUACACAUAAACCUUAAACAGAGUUUCUGAAAAUCAUCUCCCUGGAAGGAGUUUUCCAAAAGCCUUUAGCCGACUCCUCUGGAUUUGUUUGCCGACUCCUUUUUCCCUUGCUGUGUACCAAAUAUUGGACUUCAUUAAAUAUUUAACCAUUUUGAACGCUC